This 427-nucleotide ribosomal RNA is filed under the name uncultured bacterium. Its description in RNAcentral is "bacterial SSU rRNA". It matches the Rfam family "Bacterial small subunit ribosomal RNA", at positions 355 to 774 of the family's 1533-position model. The record is from RNAcentral.
UGGGGAAUUUUGGACAAUGGACGCAAGUCUGAUCCAGCCAUGCCGCGUGCGGGAAGAAGGCCUUCGGGUUGUAAACCGCUUUUGUCAGGGAAGAAACGAGUUUCUCUAAUACAGAGACUUAAUGACGGUACCUGAAGAAUAAGCACCGGCUAACUACGUGCCAGCAGCCGCGGUAAUACGUAGGGUGCAAGCGUUAAUCGGAAUUACUGGGCGUAAAGCGUGCGCAGGCGGUUAUGUAAGACAGAUGUGAAAUCCCCGGGCUCAACCUGGGACCUGCAUUUGUGACUGCAUAGCUAGAGUACGGCAGGGGGGGAUGGAAUUCCGCGUGUAGCAGUGAAACGCGUAGAUAUGCGGAGGAACACCGAUGGCGAAGGCAAUCCCCUGGGCCUGUACUGACGCUCAUGCACGAAAGCGUGGGGAGCAAACA